This 253-nucleotide ribosomal RNA is filed under the name uncultured bacterium. Its description in RNAcentral is "partial 16S ribosomal RNA". It matches the Rfam family "Bacterial small subunit ribosomal RNA", at positions 524 to 776 of the family's 1533-position model. The record is from RNAcentral.
UACAGAGGAUGCAAGCGUUAUCCGGAAUUAUUGGGCGUAAAGCGUCUGUAGGUGGCUUUUUAAGUCCGCCGUCAAAUCCCAGGGCUCAACUCUGGACAGGCGGUGGAAACUACCAAGCUGGAGUUCGGUAGGGGCAGAGGGAAUUUCCGGUGGAGCGGUGAAAUGCGUAGAGAUCGGAAAGAACACCAACGGCGAAAGCAGUCUGCUGGGCCGACACUGACACUGAGAGACGAAAGCUAGGGGAGCGAAUGGG